RNAcentral lists this ribosomal RNA (253 nucleotides) under uncultured bacterium. RNAcentral's name for it is "partial 16S ribosomal RNA". It matches the Rfam family "Bacterial small subunit ribosomal RNA", at positions 524 to 776 of the family's 1533-position model. The record is from RNAcentral.
UACAGAGGGGGCAAGCGUUGUCCGGAUUCAUUGGGCGUAAAGCGCGUGUAGGCGGCCAGGUAGGUCCGACGUGAAAACUGGAGGCUCAACCUCCAGCUGUCGUUGGAAACCAUCUGGCUAGAGUCCGGAAGAGGAGAGUGGAAUUCCUGGUGUAGCGGUGAAAUGCUUAGAUAUGACAUAGAACACCAAUUGCGAAGGCAGCUUACUACACAGUUAUUGACACUGAGGCACGAAAGCGUGGGGAUCAAACAGG